CAGUGUAUAGUUUAUUUAGAAUUUAAACUUUGGGUGUUUAAGAUGUAUAUUAAUUGUUACUAUACUGA
RNAcentral lists this transfer RNA (68 nucleotides) under Empoascanara gracilis. RNAcentral describes it as "tRNA-Pro". Lineage: Eukaryota; Metazoa; Arthropoda; Insecta; Hemiptera; Cicadellidae. The record is from RNAcentral.